AGGGGAAUUGCUGGGUCGAAUGGUGGCUCCAUUCCCAGCUUUCUAAGGAAUCUCCAUACUGAUUUCCAAAAUGGUCGCACCAGUUUUCAGUCCCACCAGCAAU
Molecule: microRNA precursor, 103 nt
Filed under: Marmota monax (woodchuck)
Lineage: Eukaryota; Metazoa; Chordata; Mammalia; Rodentia; Sciuridae
Source: RNAcentral